CAAUAGCGUAUAUUAAAGUUGCUGCAGUUAGAACGCUCGUAGUCGGAUUUCGGGGCGGGCCGACCGGUCUGCCGAUGGGUAUGCACUGGUCGGCGCGUCCUUCCUUCCGGAGACCGUCCCUACUCUUAACUGAGCGGGGGCGGGAGACGGGACUUUUACUUUGAAAAAAUCAGAGUGUUUCAAGCAGGCAGCUCGCUCUUGCAUGGAUUAGCAUGGGAUAAUGAAAUAGGACUUUGGUGCUAUUUUGUUGGUUUCGAACACCGAAGUAAUGAUGAGAAGGGACAGUCAGGGGCACUCGUAUUCCGCCGAGAGAGGUGAAAUUCUCAGACCAGCGGAAGACGAACCACUGCGAAAGCAUUUGCCAGGGAUGUUUUCACUGA
This 380-nucleotide ribosomal RNA is filed under the name uncultured eukaryote. RNAcentral's name for it is "partial 18S ribosomal RNA". It matches the Rfam family "Eukaryotic small subunit ribosomal RNA", at positions 592 to 976 of the family's 1831-position model. The record is from RNAcentral.